Molecule: microRNA, 20 nt
Filed under: Human betaherpesvirus 5
Lineage: Duplodnaviria; Heunggongvirae; Peploviricota; Herviviricetes; Herpesvirales; Orthoherpesviridae
Description: hcmv-miR-UL70-3p
Source: RNAcentral
GCGUCUAGGUUGGCGCGCGG